ACGGAGGGUGCGAGCGUUAUUCGGAAUUACUGGGCGUAAAGCGCGUGUAGGCGGUCCCGCAAGUCUGAUGUGAAAGCCCCGGGCUUAACCCGGGAAGUGCAUUGGAAACUGUGGGACUUGAGUACUGGAGAGGAUGGGGGAAUUCCCGGUGUAGAGGUGAAAUUCGUAGAGAUCGGGAGGAAUGGCAGCGGCGAAGGCGCCCAUCUGGACGGUAACUGACGCUGAGACGCGAAAGAGUUGGGAGCGAGCAG
Molecule: ribosomal RNA, 251 nt
Filed under: uncultured prokaryote
Description: partial 16S rRNA
Rfam family: Bacterial small subunit ribosomal RNA
Source: RNAcentral